Molecule: ribosomal RNA, 497 nt
Filed under: uncultured bacterium
Lineage: Bacteria
Description: bacterial SSU rRNA
Rfam family: Bacterial small subunit ribosomal RNA
Source: RNAcentral
AAAGGAAUAGACGGGGGCCCGCACAAGCGGUGGAGCAUGUGGUUCAAUUCGACGCAACGCGAAGAACCUUACCUGGGCUCGAACGGCUCACGAAAGUCUGUGGAAACAUGGAUUUCCCGCAAGGGACGGGAGUCGAGGUGCUGCAUGGCUGUCGUCAGCUCGUGUCGUGAGAUGUUGGGUUAAGUCCCGCAACGAGCGCAACCCUUGCCCUGUGUUGCCAGGCUAGCAAUAGCGGAACUCGCAGGGGACCGCCAGCGAUAAGCUGGAGGAAGGUGGGGAUGACGUCAAGUCAUCAUGGCCUUUAUGUCCAGGGCUACACACGUGCUACAAUGGCCGGUACAGAGCGCUGCCAAGUCGCGAGACGGAGCUAAUCGCAGAAAACCGGUCUCAGUUCGGAUUGCAGGCUGCAACCCGCCUGCAUGAAGCUGGAAUCGCUAGUAAUGGCGCAUCAGCAUGGCGCCGUGAAUACGUUCCCGGGCCUUGUACACACCGCCCGU